Molecule: long non-coding RNA, 688 nt
Organism: Xenopus tropicalis (tropical clawed frog)
Lineage: Eukaryota; Metazoa; Chordata; Amphibia; Anura; Pipidae
Exons: 2
Source: RefSeq, a predicted model, not a curated record
GAGCUUCACACUAGAUAAGGAAGCAAUUGAUUUCUGCAGAAUGGCUCAAAAUCUUUGGAAGGACAUUAGACUCCAUGUUGGGGGAGAGAUAUUCAAUCGAUUUAAAAAAUGAUGGAUUCUGUGUAUCCCUAGCACUGAUUCAGCAGAUAAUUAGAACAUGAUACAGGACUUUGUGUGAUAAAAGGCAUCUAAGGUAGUUACGUGUAGACUAAAAAUAUCUGCGCUAUCACCUGUCCCGGCUCGGUUUUACAUGUUUUUGGCCCAUAUCCAAUAUAAAGACUUAAGGGAAGAAAUCCAGCCCCGAUCCAGUGACGAAUUCACAGCCCAGUGCUACGUUCUCAUAACAACCGGCAUCUCUUACUGUUAACUGUUCUGCAAACACCACCGCGGCUUCCAAGCUAAACAAGGCUACAAUUUGAGAAAAAGUACAUUUCUACCGGCCGCUAUAUUUAAGCAAAAGAUAUUAAACAUAUUAUAUAUGAAUUUCAAAAAAAUGUUGUUUUUUUUACCUAAAGAGGGGAAGGAGUUCUCAAGUUAGAAAAUAAUUUCCAUUUGGUAACAAAGCAAAUAAAUGAAAUGUGGGGGGUCAGGCUGGAAAGUUCAGGUGCCAGUAAAGAUUUAUGGAACUGUUUACUGAAAUAGUUCUCGCAAGGUUAAGUCUCCAUUAAAAAAAACUGUAAUGAUUUAA